UCCCUUGUCUAUUUUAAAAGUGGAGAGACGUGGGCCCAAGACUGCCAUGUGACCAAACCUCCAUCCUCAUGCUCAGAACUGGCUAGAAGCCUAAACUGAGUCAGAGGCUGUCACCCUGGUCCAAUCUGGGAAGAAUCUCCCCUGUCCCAAAUAGAGCUCCCUACGUCCCCUGCUGAGAUGCUCCAAUCUUUCGGGAGAGUUGUCCCUUUCAAGAAUGACCUGUAAGCAGCUGCCCCAUUGCAAAAGUGUCAUCUCAAUGCCGUCAUCGACCAUGAGCACACACUGCCAUUUAAUUUCACCUUUAGGAUUACCUGGCACUUCCUCAGGCGAAGUCACCUUGGAACAAGACACGGGAGGGUCCAGCCUUGAAGGCAUUGUAUCCAUGACAUCCACCGGAGGAGCUAAAGAAAACAUCCACAGAUCACUCUCUGCCCUUGUCCACUUUGUUCUUGGAAGGACAUCAGUGGGUUCCCUUGCCCUCUGGCUUCUGGUUGGAUUCACCCAAUGGAGAGCCCUGGCAGGAGAUUGGAAGAAGAGAGGAUAGUAAGGCCGACAAGCCCGGCUGGCUGUGGAGUAGAGGGAAACACCUCUUUUAUCAAAAUUGGCUUCAAAAGAUGUCUAUCUCCCGUUUCUGGUGAGUCAUCUGUCCAUUCACAAGUGUUGGAAGUGGGAAGGAGGCCACUGAGAGACUCCCCUAGGAUACGCUAAUUGGAUGAGGAAACUCUGGAACUGAAGGGAACUUUAAUGUCCAUUUCAUUCAUCCCUCUACUUUAAAGCACCAAACGAAGGCCCAUCCAAGGUGAAAAGCAUCCAUUUCUUGGAGAAAUGCCACUGUGAGAUUGCAAGUCCCAGGACCAGGACUUAUGUGUCUCUUUUUCCAGCGAAGUGGCUAAAGGUCUGGAGGAAAAGGUGGUGGUACCCUUGGAAAUCUCCAGGAGCAGCUUCAACAGUCAACUACACCAGUAGUGCUCACAGCUGGAAAAUUCAUGCCAGUGGAAGAAUCUGUAGUGUCGCACAAACUCGCUGUGAAGCUGAGGAAUGUGCCUAAUGCCUGGAGCUGAACAAAAUGGCGGCCGUUUUUCUUUCCAGGAAAGGAGACUUCACAGCAGAUGGUGCAGAGACCAAGAUCUUUCAUACGCUGUGGACAUUGGUGGUAGUAGAGCCGGUCAAGAAAUAAGAGAAGUUGGAGGCCAGACAAAAUGCUUGUCACAAGAGUGCGGAGUGAAUGAGUCCGGCAAGCCUGUGCCUUUCCUCUGGGUCAGGUGCCAGUAUAGACUCUGCGUGGCCAUCUUUCACAAGGAACUUUCCAAUAGAGCCUUGUGUGACACGUGUUUUAUAACCUGGUCAAAUGCGUGUUGCUGUACUGCCGUCCUCUUGGGUAAGGACAAGAGACGCAGAUGGAUGGAGGAACUAGCCCAGGAUUUGAGAGCUAGUUGGCAAGAGUUGGGAUGCAAAUCAAGGAAAAGCGUGCCAUACCCUGCCCUGGACAGUCCAUACAUAAUGAUGCUCCUAGUGAUGAUGAUAAUGAUAAUGGUCGCUUGCAAUUAUUGAUGGCUUCUUUAUACCAGUGGUAACAAUAACUCUAAAAGCUGGGAUUAUGUUUAACUGUCAUGUUAAUCAGAGGAAUGAAAGGACCCAGAAGCAGACUGAUCACAUAAUACGCAACUUUGUAAUGCCUGUUGAAGUGAAUUUACUUGAUUUUAUAUU
This is a long non-coding RNA of Equus quagga, 1707 nucleotides long. RefSeq lists it as uncharacterized. NCBI's taxonomy places the organism in Eukaryota, Metazoa, Chordata, Mammalia, Perissodactyla, Equidae. The transcript is spliced from 10 exons. The record is from RefSeq and is a predicted model, not a curated record.